RNAcentral lists this ribosomal RNA (506 nucleotides) under uncultured bacterium. RNAcentral describes it as "partial 16S ribosomal RNA". It matches the Rfam family "Bacterial small subunit ribosomal RNA", at positions 30 to 523 of the family's 1533-position model. The record is from RNAcentral.
AUUGAACGCUGGCGGCAGGCCUAACACAUGCAAGUCGAACGGCAGCGGGGGAUAGCUUGCUAUCCUGCCGGCGAGUGGCGGACGGGUGAGUAAUGCAUGGGGAGCUGCCCAGUCGAGGGGGAUAACAACUGGAAACGGUUGCUAAUACCGCAUACGCCCUGAGGGGGAAAGGUGGGGAACUUCGGUCCUACCGCGAUUGGAUGCGCCCAUGUGGGAUUAGCUAGUUGGUGAGGUAACGGCUCACCAAGGCGACGAUCUCUAGCUGGUCUGAGAGGAUGACCAGCCACACUGGAACUGAGGCACGGUCCAGACUCGUACGGGAGGCAGCAGUGGGGAAUAUUGCACAAUGGGGGAAACCCUGAUGCAGCCAUGCCGCGUGUGUGAAGAAGGCCUUCGGGUUGUAAAGCACUUUCAGUCAGGAGGAAGGGGUGAUGGCUAAUAUCCAUCAUCAUUGACGUUACUGACAGAAGAAGCACCGGCUAACUCCGUGCCAGCCGCCGCAGUAA